RNAcentral lists this ribosomal RNA (466 nucleotides) under uncultured bacterium. RNAcentral describes it as "bacterial SSU rRNA". It matches the Rfam family "Bacterial small subunit ribosomal RNA", at positions 330 to 792 of the family's 1533-position model. The record is from RNAcentral.
UCCAGACUCCUACGGGAGGCAGCAGUGAGGAAUAUUGGUCAGUGGGCGGAAGCCUGAACCAGCCAAGUCGCGUGAGGGAAGACGGUCCUAUGGAUUGUAAACCUCUUUAGGCGGGGAGCAAUGCCGGGCACGCGUGCCCGGAGGGAGAGUACCCGCAGAAUAAGCAUCGGCUAACUACGUGCCAGCAGCCGCGGUAAUACGUAGGUGGCAAGCGUUAUCCGGAUUUACUGGGUGUAAAGGGCGUGUAGGCGGGACUGCAAGUCAGAUGUGAAAACCAUGGGCUCAACCUGUGGCCUGCAUUUGAAACUGUAGUUCUUGAGUACUGGAGAGGCAGACGGAAUUCCUAGUGUAGCGGUGAAAUGCGUAGAUAUUAGGAGGAACACCAGUGGCGAAGGCGGUCUGCUGGACAGCAACUGACGCUGAGGCGCGAAAGCGUGGGGAGCAAACAGGAUUAGAUACCCCGGUA